This 506-nucleotide ribosomal RNA is filed under the name uncultured bacterium. Its description in RNAcentral is "partial 16S ribosomal RNA". It matches the Rfam family "Bacterial small subunit ribosomal RNA", at positions 29 to 523 of the family's 1533-position model. The record is from RNAcentral.
AGUGAACGCUGGCGGUAGGCCUAACACAUGCAAGUCGAACGGCAGCACAGGAGAGCUUGCUCUCUGGGUGGCGAGUGGCGGACGGGUGAGGAAUACAUCGGAAUCUACUCUGUCGUGGGGGAUAACGUAGGGAAACUUACGCUAAUACCGCAUACGACCUACGGGUGAAAGCAGGGGACCUUCGGGCCUUGCGCGAUUGAAUGAGCCGAUGUCGGAUUAGCUAGUUGGCGGGGUAAAGGCCCACCAAGGCGACGAUCCGUAGCUGGUCUGAGAGGAUGAUCAGGCACACUGGAACUGAGAAACGGUCCAGACUCCUACGGGAGGCAGCAGUGGGGAAUAUUGGACAAUGGGCGCAAGCCUGAUCCAGCCAUACCGCGUGGGUGAAGAAGGCCUUCGGGUGGUAAAGCCCUUUUGUUGGGAAAGAAAUCCAGCUGGCUAAUACCCGGUUGGGAUGACGGUACCCAAAGAAUAAGCACCGGCUAACUUCGUGCCAGCAGCCGCAGUAA